RNAcentral lists this ribosomal RNA (1347 nucleotides) under metagenome. RNAcentral describes it as "bacterial LSU rRNA". It matches the Rfam family "Bacterial large subunit ribosomal RNA", at positions 1555 to 2925 of the family's 2925-position model. The record is from RNAcentral.
UCAAAGGUGUGACGCGGACCGAAAAAGAGUAGGGAAGCUGUUAAGCAAGCCGUCAAGAAAAGCUGCUAUUGUUUCAUUAUGGCCCGUACCGUAAACCGACACAGGUGGAUGGGGAGAGAAUCCUAAGGCCGGCGGAAGAAGUAUUGUUAAGGAACUCGGCAAAAUGACCCCGUAACUUCGGGAGAAGGGGUGCCUGCGAGAGCAGGCCGCAGAGAAGAGGCCCAAGCAACUGUUUAGCAAAAACUCAGGUCUAUGCAAAACCGAAAGGUGAGGUAUAUGGGCUGACGCCUGCCCGGUGCUGGAAGGUUAAGGGGAGUGGUCAGGAAACGAAGCCACGAACUUAAGCCCCAGUAAACGGCGGCCGUAACGAUAACGGUCCUAAGGUAGCGAAAUUCCUUGUCGGGUAAGUUCCGACCCGCACGAAAGGCGUAAUGAUUUGGGCGCUGUCUCGACAAUACAUCCGGUGAAAUCGAAGUGCCAGUGAAGAGGCUGGCUACCUGCGCCAGGACGGAAAGACCCCAUGGAGCUUUACUCCAGCUUGAUACUGGGACCCGGUAUUGCAUGUACAGGAUAGGUGGGAGGCUAGGAAAUGUGGACGCCAGUCUGCAUGGAGCCGCUGUUGGGAUACCACCCUUGUGGUGCUGGGUUUCUAACCAGAGGCCGUGAACCGGUCUGGGGACAAUGUCAGGUGGGGAGUUUGACUGGGGCGGUCGCCUCCGAAAGGGUAUCGGAGGCGCCCAAAGGUUCCCUCAGAAUGGUUGGAAACCAUUCGAAGAGUGCAAAGGCAGAAGGGAGCUUGACUGCGACACCGACGGGUGGAGCAGGUACGAAAGUAGGGCUUAGUGAUCCGGUGGAAUUUAAGUGGGAAUGCCAUCGCUCAACGGAUAAAAGCUACCCUGGGAUAACAGGCUGAUCACUCCCAAGAGUUCACAUCGACGGAGUGGUUUGGCACCUCGAUGUCGGCUCAUCGCAUCCUGGGGCUGAAGUCGGUCCCAAGGGUUGGGCUGUUCGCCCAUUAAAGCGGUACGCGAGCUGGGUUCAGAACGUCGUGAGACAGUUCGGUCCCUAUCCGGCGUGGGCGUAGGAUAUCUGAGAGGAGCUGUCCUUAGUACGAGAGGACCGGGAUGGACUGACCUCUGGUGUACCGGUUGGCGAUCAACGCCACGGCCGGGUAGCCAUGUCGGGACGGGAUAAACGCUGAAGGCAUCUAAGCGUGAAGCCCCCCCUCAAGAUGAGAUAUCCCAUCGUAAGAGUAAGACCCCUUGAAGACGACGAGGUUGAUAGGGCAGGGGUGGAAGUGCUGUAAGGCAUGGAGCUGACUGCUACUAAUCGGUCGAGGGCUUGACC